UAAUGGCAGGUCAGCAUACUGCCGUGAAUACGUUCCCGGGCCCUUGUACACACCGCCCGUCACACCAUGAGAGUUGGGAAUACCCGAAGCCUGUGAGCUAACGUAAGAGGCAGCAGUCGAAGGUAGAAUCAAUGAUUGGGGUGAAGUCGUAACAAGGUAGC
RNAcentral lists this ribosomal RNA (161 nucleotides) under uncultured bacterium. RNAcentral's name for it is "partial 16S ribosomal RNA". It matches the Rfam family "Bacterial small subunit ribosomal RNA", at positions 1339 to 1500 of the family's 1533-position model. The record is from RNAcentral.